CCAUAAUACAGACCAGGACCGCCGGGCUCAUUACAAGCCCGGCGGUCCUGUUGGGGGCUGGCAGAGAGCUGUAACUUACCUGCAGCUCCUGUCAGCUCCCUUCUCUCUCCUCCGGUCCGGUCAGCUCCCCUGUCAGCUCCACUGCAAGUCCCGCGAGAGCCGUGGGGUCAGAGCGUUGCCACGGAUUACCGUGGCAACGCUCUGCGCGGCACUCAGACCGCGAGACUUGCAG
Molecule: long non-coding RNA, 232 nt
Filed under: Pelobates cultripes (western spadefoot toad)
Lineage: Eukaryota; Metazoa; Chordata; Amphibia; Anura; Pelobatidae
Source: RNAcentral